UUAUCGAUGCAACGCGAAGAACCUUACCUGACCUUGACAUAGUGAGAACCUCUCUGAAGGGAGAGGGUGCCUUCGGGAGCUCACAUACAGGUGCUGCAUGGCUGUCGUCAGCUCGUGUCGUGAGAUGUUGGGUUAAGUCCCGCAACGAGCGCAACCCUUGUCCUUUGUUGCCAGCGGGUAAAGCCGGGAACUCAAAGGAGACUGCCAGUGACAAACUGGAGGAAGGCAGGGAUGACGUCAAGUCAUCAUGGCCCUUACGACCAGGGCAACACACGUGCUACAAUGGGAUAUACAGAGGGAAGCGAGCAGGUGACUGUAAGCGAAUCUCAGAAAGUAUUUCGUAGUCCGGAUUGAAGUCUGCAACUCGACUUCAUGAAGUUGGAAUCGCUAGUAAUCGCAAAUCAGAAUGUUGCGGUGAAUACGUUCCCGGGCCUUGUACACACCGCCCGUCACACCAUGGGAGUGGAUUGCACCAGAAGUAGCCAGCUUAACGAAAGAGGGCGGUUACCACGGUGUGGUUUAUGACUGGGGUGAAGUCGUAACAAGGUAACCUA
This 554-nucleotide ribosomal RNA is filed under the name uncultured bacterium. RNAcentral's name for it is "bacterial SSU rRNA". It matches the Rfam family "Bacterial small subunit ribosomal RNA", at positions 947 to 1503 of the family's 1533-position model. The record is from RNAcentral.